GACGAACGCUGGCGGCGUGCUUAACACAUGCAAGUCGAACGGUGAACGAGGGAGCUUGCUCCCUCCGGAUCAGUGGCGAACGGGUGAGUAACACGUGAGCAAUCUGCCCCGAACUCUGGGAUAAGCGUUGGAAACGACGUCUAAUACCGGAUACGACGCGGGAGGGCAUCCUCUCCGCGUGGAAAGAACUUCGGUUCGGGAUGAGCUCGCGGCCUAUCAGCUUGUUGGUGAGGUAACGGCUGACCAAGGCGACGACGGGUAGCCGGCCUGAGAGGGUGACCGGCCACACUGGGACUGAGACACGGCCCAGACUCCUACGGGAGGCAGCAGUGGGGAAUAUUGCACAAUGGGCGCAAGCCUGAUGCAGCAACGCCGCGUGAGGGACGACGGCCUUCGGGUUGUAAACCUCUUUUAGCAGGGAAGAAGCGAAAGUGACGGUACCUGCAGAAAAAGCACCGGCUAACUACGUG
RNAcentral lists this ribosomal RNA (470 nucleotides) under uncultured bacterium. RNAcentral describes it as "partial 16S ribosomal RNA". It matches the Rfam family "Bacterial small subunit ribosomal RNA", at positions 28 to 507 of the family's 1533-position model. The record is from RNAcentral.